This 183-nucleotide unclassified non-coding RNA is filed under the name Basidiomycota sp. RNAcentral describes it as "partial contains small subunit ribosomal RNA, internal transcribed spacer 1, and 5.8S ribosomal RNA". The stretch from base 1 to 47 matches the Rfam family "Eukaryotic small subunit ribosomal RNA", at positions 1785 to 1831 of the family's 1831-position model. Lineage: Eukaryota; Fungi; Basidiomycota. The record is from RNAcentral.
AAAGUCGUAACAAGGUUUCCGUAGGUGAACCUGCGGAAGGAUCAUUAACAAAUUCCAAAACUCGUCUUGGGGGAAGCGUCAGCUGAACCUAUUAUGACAACUCACAUUUACCAAUUGACAACCAAUGGAGAACCAAAACUAUAAACGUUUAAACAACUUUUAACAAUGGAUCUCUUGGCUCUU